CUACGGGUGGCAGCAGUGAGGAAUUUUGUGCAAUGGGGGAAACCCUGACGCAGCAACGCCGCGUGAGCGAAGAAGGCCCUCGGGUCGUAAAGCUCUGUCAAGUGGGAAAAAAAUUUUUUGAUCAAUAGUCAAAAGACUUGAUGGUACCACUGGAGGAAGCACCGGCUAACUCCGUGCCAGCAGCCGCGGUAAUACGGAGGGUGCGAGCGUUGUUCGGAUUUACUGGGCGUAAAGAGCGUGUAGGCGGUUUAGCAAGUCAGAUGUGAAAGCCCUGGGCUCAACCCGGGAAGUGCAUUUGAAACUGCUUCACUAGAGUAUGGGAGAGGAGAUUGGAAUUCCUGGUGUAGAGGUGAAAUUCGUAGAUAUCAGGAGGAACACCCGUGGCGAAGGCGAUUCUCUGGACCAAUACUGACGCUGAGACGCGAAAGCGUGGGGAGCAAACAGGAUUAGAUACCCUCGUAGUC
This 464-nucleotide ribosomal RNA is filed under the name uncultured bacterium. RNAcentral describes it as "partial 16S ribosomal RNA". It matches the Rfam family "Bacterial small subunit ribosomal RNA", at positions 339 to 795 of the family's 1533-position model. The record is from RNAcentral.